Molecule: ribosomal RNA, 464 nt
Filed under: uncultured bacterium
Lineage: Bacteria
Description: partial 16S ribosomal RNA
Rfam family: Bacterial small subunit ribosomal RNA
Source: RNAcentral
CUACGGGCUGCAGCAGUGGGGAAUAUUGCACAAUGGGCGCAAGCCUGAUGCAGCCAUGCCGCGUGUAUGAAGAAGGCCUUCGGGUUGUAAAGUACUUUCAGCGGGGAGGAAGGGAGUAAAGUUAAUACCUUUGCUCAUUGACGUUACCCGCAGAAGAAGCACCGGCUAACUCCGUGCCAGCAGCCGCGGUAAUACGGAGGGUGCAAGCGUUAAUCGGAAUUACUGGGCGUAAAGCGCACGCAGGCGGUUUGUUAAGUCAGAUGUGAAAUCCCCGGGCUCAACCUGGGAACUGCAUCUGAUACUGGCAAGCUUGAGUGUGGUAGAGGGGGGUAGAAUUCCAGGUGUAGCGGUGAAAUGCGUAGAGAUCUGGAGGAAUACCGGUGGCGAAGGCGGCCCCCUGGACGAAGACUGACGCUCAGGUGCGAAAGCGUGGGGAGCAAACAGGAUUAGAUACCCCUGUAGUC